Loxodonta africana (African savanna elephant) is the source of this 106-nucleotide small nuclear RNA. The record is from Ensembl. Lineage: Eukaryota; Metazoa; Chordata; Mammalia; Proboscidea; Elephantidae.
GUGAUUGCUUAGGCAGUGCAUAUACUAAAAUUAGACCUAUACAGGAAAGAUUAGCAUGGUCCUUCACAAGGGAGGCAUGCAAAUUAAUGAAGUGUUCCAUAUUUUU